GGUUACUGCUAUCGGGGUCCGACUAAGCCAUGCGAGUUGAGAGGGGUAAGCCCUCGGCAUACUGCUCAGUAACACGCGGAUAACCUGCCCUUGGGUCCGGGAUAACCCCGGGAAACUGGGACUAAUACCGGAUAGAUCAGAGAAACUGGAAUGUUCUCUGGUUCAAAACUCCGGUGCCCAAGGAUGGGUCUGCGGCCUAUCAGGUAGUAGUGGGUGUAACGUACCUACUAGCCAGCGACGGGUAAGGGUUGUGAGAGCAAGAUCCCUGAGAUGGAUUCUGAGACAUGAAUCCAGGCCCUACGGGGUGCAGCAGGCGCGAAAACUUUACACUGCGGGAAACCGCGAUAAGGGGACCCCGAGUGCCAGCACCUAGUGCUGGCUGUCCUACUGUCUAAAUAACAGUGGUUAGCAAGGGCCGGGCAAGACCGGUGCCAGCCGUCGCGGUAACACCGGCGGCCCGAGUGGUAACCGUUUUUAUUGGGUUUAAAGGGUCCGUAGCCGGCUUACUAAGUCUCUUGGGAAAUCUGGCGGCUCAAUCGUCAGGCGGCCAAGAGAUACUGGUAGGCUUGGGACCGGGAGAGGUGGGAGGUACUCCAGGGGUAGGGGUGAAAUCUCGUAAUCCUUGGGGGACCACCGAUGACGAAGGCAUCCCACCAGAACGGGUCCGACGGUGAGGGACGAAAGCUGGGGGCACGAACCGGAUUAGAUACCCGGGUAGUCCCAGCUGUAAACGAUGCUCGCUAGGUGUCAGGUGCGGUGCGACCGCAUCUGGUGCCGCAGUGAAAACUUGAAGCGAGUCACCUGGGAAGUACGGUCGCAAGGCUGAAACUUAAAGGAAUUGGCGGGGGAGCACUACAACGGGUGGAGCCUGCGGUUC
Molecule: ribosomal RNA, 877 nt
Filed under: uncultured archaeon
Lineage: Archaea
Description: bacterial SSU rRNA
Rfam family: Archaeal small subunit ribosomal RNA
Source: RNAcentral